GUCCUUUUGAUUUUUAUUUAAGGUCUGACCUGCCCACUGAUUUAUUUAAUGGCCGCGGUAUUCUGACCGUGCAAAGGUAGCAUAAUAAUUUGUCUUUUAAUUGAAGGCUUGUAUGAAUGGUUGGACGAGAAAACUUCUUUCUUUAUAAUAUAUUUAUGAAUUUUAUUUUUUAGUUAAAAAGCUAAAAUGUUAUUGUAGGACGAGAAGACCCUAUAGAACUUUAUAGUUUUUAUUAUAUUAAUAUUUUUGGUUAAUAAAUAUAUUAUUUAAUGUAAAUUAUUUUGUUGGGGCGACAAGAAAAUUUAUUUAACUUUUUUUAAUUAAUUUCACUAAUUAGUGUAUGAAUGAUCCUUUAUUAUGGAUAAUAAGAAUAAGUUACCUUAGGGAUAACAGCGUAAUUUCUUUGGAGAGUUCUUAUCGAUAAAGAAGUUUGCGA
This 436-nucleotide ribosomal RNA is filed under the name Corixa affinis. RNAcentral describes it as "partial large subunit ribosomal RNA". It matches the Rfam family "Archaeal large subunit ribosomal RNA", at positions 1921 to 2592 of the family's 2987-position model. The record is from RNAcentral. Lineage: Eukaryota; Metazoa; Arthropoda; Insecta; Hemiptera; Corixidae.